This 87-nucleotide microRNA precursor is filed under the name Medicago truncatula (barrel medic). Its description in RNAcentral is "MIR2617 microRNA precursor family". It matches the Rfam family "MIR2617 microRNA precursor family". The record is from Rfam by way of RNAcentral. Lineage: Eukaryota; Viridiplantae; Streptophyta; Magnoliopsida; Fabales; Fabaceae.
AUGUAGUGUGACAUGCCUGUUUGGUGAUAAACUCUGAUUUUUAUUUAUUAUUUAAUUCGUUUUCGGGAACGGGGUGUUACAUCCAUA